RNAcentral lists this ribosomal RNA (594 nucleotides) under uncultured Lachnospiraceae bacterium. RNAcentral's name for it is "bacterial SSU rRNA". It matches the Rfam family "Bacterial small subunit ribosomal RNA", at positions 97 to 709 of the family's 1533-position model. The record is from RNAcentral. Lineage: Bacteria; Bacillati; Bacillota; Clostridia; Lachnospirales; Lachnospiraceae.
GGCGGACGGGUGAAUAACGCGUGGGUAACCUGCCUUGUACUGGGGGAUAGCAGCUGGAAACGGCUGGUAAUACCGCAUAAGCGCACAAUGUUGCAUGACAUGGUGUGAAAAACUCCGGUGGUAUAAGAUGGACCCGCGUCUGAUUAGCUAGUUGGUGAGAUAACAGCCCACCAAGGCGACGAUCAGUAGCCGACCUGAGAGGGUGACCGGCCACAUUGGGACUGAGACACGGCCCAGACUCCUACGGGAGGCAGCAGUGGGGAAUAUUGCACAAUGGAGGAAACUCUGAUGCAGCGACGCCGCGUGAGUGAAGAAGUAAUUCGUUAUGUAAAGCUCUAUCAGCAGGGAAGAUAGUGACGGUACCUGACUAAGAAGCUCCGGCUAAAUACGUGCCAGCAGCCGCGGUAAUACGUAUGGAGCAAGCGUUAUCCGGAUUUACUGGGUGUAAAGGGAGUGUAGGUGGCCAUGCAAGUCAGAAGUGAAAAUCCGGGGCUCAACCCCGGAACUGCUUUUGAAACUGUAAGGCUAGAGUGCAGGAGGGGUGAGUGGAAUUCCUAGUGUAGCGGUGAAAUGCGUAGAUAUUAGGAGGAACAC